This 491-nucleotide ribosomal RNA is filed under the name uncultured bacterium. RNAcentral's name for it is "partial 16S ribosomal RNA". It matches the Rfam family "Bacterial small subunit ribosomal RNA", at positions 29 to 507 of the family's 1533-position model. The record is from RNAcentral.
GUGAACGCUGGCGGUAGGCCUAACACAUGCAAGUCGAACGGCAGCACAGUAAGAGCUUGCUCUUACGGGUGGCGAGUGGCGGACGGGUGAGGAAUACAUCGGAACCUACUUUUUCGUGGGGGAUAACGUAGGGAAACUUACGCUAAUACCGCAUACGACCUACGGGUGAAAGCAGGGGAUCUUCGGACCUUGCGCGAUUGAAUGAGCCGAUGUCGGAUUAGCUAGUUGGCGGGGUAAAGGCCCACCAAGGCGACGAUCCGUAGCUGGUCUGAGAGGAUGAUCAGCCACACUGGAACUGAGACACGGUCCAGACACCUACGGGAGGCAGCAGUGGGGAAUAUUGGACAAUGGGCGCAAGCCUGAUCCAGCCAUACCGCGUGGGUGAAGAAGGCCUUCGGGUUGUAAAGCCCUUUUGUUGGGAAAGAAAAGCAGCAGGUUAAUACCCCGCUGUUCUGACGGUACCCAAAGAAUAAGCACCGGCUAACUUCGUG